UAAUCUUCUUCGUUUCUGAUCAAAAAAAAAAAAACAAGGACAGACGUUGAUCAAUAGAUGCUAUCUACAUAAAAUAGAAGAAGAAUCAAUUGAUCACAUAAUUCUUCACUGUGUCAAAACAUGGUAGUUGCUCUUCUCUAUUUGGCAUUCUUGGUGUUGUCUACCAUAAUCAAAGAAACUCUUUGAAGGUGGCACACAUCCUUUGUGGAGAGAAGACAAAAGAAGGUUUGGAGAGCUACUCCUAUUUGCAUUUUUUAAACGAUUUGGCAAGAGAAGACUCGUAAGUCAUUUGAGAACGAGGAGCAGUCUAACCAUAUUUUAAAGAGUUUUUCCUUAGUAAUCUUUUCUUAUGGGUAAAGGUGUACAUAUAUGAGGCUCAAUGCCCUUAAUUGAUUUUGUUGAUUAGUUGGAUUCUCAUUAAGGGAGGAAGUUGUUUUUUGUGUUCUCUUUUUGGCUGAACCUUGGAGUUAUACCUUUGGCACGCAUUGUAUAGGUCUUAUAUGCCUUGGCGCUUAAGGGUUUUUUUUUUUUAAAUCUUAUGGCUACCUAUCAAAAAUAGAACUUUUGUUGUGAACUGUAGAACCAGUUUUAGGGCAUACUGUCAUGGACCGGGAUCUUCCCUAAAAUCCUUGUAGCACUUAGACCAACUUCAAACACUCCAAGUUCCCAAGUCAGUCUUAACCAAGCAGCCUUAGACAAUAUCUAAGAAGUAUAAGAAAAACAAAGAGCCAAAGGGAGCGUUUGAAAGAAAGCAAGUGCUAUCAUUUUUUUUUUUAUCAAUAAGUAUAUAAUUGUAUUACAAAGAGGCACUAAAAUAGCGACCCACAGAAUUACAGUAUAAAGGAACUUACCCCCUUACAACAAGGCCCAAACAAUAAGGAAAAAACAAAAAAUCUUCUCCCUUAAUGCAUACACACCCACUCUAUAAAAUCUAUUAAGGUCGAAGGACCAUCUUUUAUCCACAAAUUGGUUUCCAACCACAGUAAAUACACAAAAGAAACUUUCAGCUUUUGAAUGGACAGCCCACAAUCCUCAAAAGCAAUUGAAUUUCUAGCCUUCCAUAUAACCCAAAACAAACAUAACGGUCCCAAUUGCCACGCCAUCUUCCUCUUCUUUCCCACAAAAGAGCCCCUCCAUCCUAAAAGGGUUUCCUUCACCAAAAGAGGAAAAACCCAAGAAACUCCAGAAAAAGAAAGGAGCAACAUCCACACUUCCCUUGUUUUUUCACAAUGAAUGAGAAGGUGAUCAAUUGACUCCUCACACGUAUGGCAUAAAAAACAUCUAUUUGCCAUCACCCAACCUCUCUUUUGCAAACAAUCCAAGGUUAGAACUCUCCCCCAAGAAGCCUCCCACGCAAGUGUUAUCAUACUAACUAAAAAAGCUAGUUCUCAAUCCUGAGAUCUUAAGAUCUACCUUGAACAAGUGAAGGGCUCCUCUAUUUAUAGGUACAUGAGGACUCCAAAUUUGUACGUACCUAAUGUGGGAUUGGCUAGUCCUAUUAUUUUAAUAUUCUCCUAGAAUAUAGAGCUUAGGUUUUAUAACUAUUUCAAAACCUUUCACAGUAUUUCAAAGGAACCCAAACUACUUGCUACUAAUCCUAAUUAUUCUAAAUGAACAUUCUCAAACAGUUUAGAAUGCUUUGGUGACUAACACUUUUGCAUAUUUAUGCAAAAUUGAGCCAAACCGUGAUGAUAGCUUCAAAUUUCUUUUGCAUAAUAUUUCCUAUCAAAAUAAUUUUUAUAUUUUUCUCAUCUUACCCUUUCAAAUAUUAGACUUCCAAAGAUAUCCCAAGAUAUUCUGGUAUUAUCCACUUAAGCAACAUGAAUGAUUACUACUCAAAAAUGCAUAUAACUAGUAUUAAUGGAUGUAUAAUUCACAUUUUUUUCAUCGUAAUUAUACUUAAAAUACUCAAUUAACAUAUUGUUGCUCUUGCAAUGAUUACUAACCAUCUUUUGUGAGUUGAGUGAUUUCAAGGUGUAAUUUGAUGAUAAAUUAUGUAAGAGGGGAGAUGAAUCCAUAUGAAGAAGGCACAAAGUGAUGAUGAUUCAAAUAUGUGCUGCAAAUGGGUGAUAUCAACAUGUUGUAAUUGAAGGAUCUCUAAGAAUAAACAAAGUUGAUCUUAUGAAAGAGGAUGUCCAAAUGACUUUGAUUCAUGCAUCCACACAUGUGAAUACAAAAAGGAUCAGUUCAAAUAGAAGGAAAAAUGAGGCCAGUUAUGCCCUAUAUGCCAGCUCAAUCAACUAAUUUUGGUGUGAGGGUGAUGUAGUGGUUUGAGAUGAGAGAGGGAAAGUGUUAGGUUGCAAUAGAGUCGAAGACGUUUGAAGUUUCGAUAGAGGAAGUCCGAGGGAAGCUAAAAGGUACCAUUGUGGAGAGGAGUAGAGGUCUCUCCUCUUGGAUCCGUUUUCGAGAUUUAAGUUUGAGAAAACUGUUGGAAGGUUUUGAAGAAUGUUGCAGGAAGGAGAAGGAAGGAAGAAUGGUAAAAGUUUGGGAGGAAGAGGGAAGAAAGUUCAAGUUGGAGAGGCGUGUAAAUGGGGCAGGGAGAUAUGUCUUAUGUUCUAUUGUUGAUGUAGAGACUAAGAGAUUUUGCUUAGUUUUCCCUAAAGGAAAGGGUUUGCUAGGAAGAUGGGUCAUUCUCGCUGAGAAACUAUGGGCUUUGGGAGUAGUUGCUCAAGAGGAAGCAAAGACUGAAGCGGCACUCAGAGUUGAUNNNNNNNNNNNNNNNNNNNNNNNNNNNNNNNNNNNNNNNNNNNNNNNNNNNNNNNNNNNNNNNNNNNNNNNNNNNNNNNNNNNNNNNNNNNNNNNNNNNNAAAGACAAAAGUGGUGACAUUGAAAGGCAAGGAUGAGAAGUGCAUUGGAAAAAAAGUGGAGGGUGAGAAAAAGACCUUCGUGGAUGUUGCUAAGGAACCGGUUGGAAGGCUAGGAGAUGCGUCAUGGCUUCAGGUUGGAAGGAGAGGGUUGAGGGGUAGGGAGGAAGGGUUGGAUCAAUGCUUAGUUGGAAUGUGGGGUGCCGGGUCGGUGGUAGAGACGAAAAUGGCUUCGUUCAGGAAAUGGGGGGAGCACAAUUGGAAUCUUAAAAAAGGUGUGCAAGUUUUGAAGCUGGGAGGACCUUUCUUUUUGCUGGAGUUUGAAGAUGAAAAGGAGGCAGAGAGUGUUAAAAAGGGGGACGCGCUGCUAUAAGGAUAAAUUGCUGCACUUAGAGAGCUGGAGUGAGGAGGCGAGGUGCUUGCAGUUAGGAAGCCAAGCAAAAAAAGUUUGGGUGAGGGUGGUGGGGCUCCCACUUCACUAUUGGAGUGGAGAGAUGUUUAAAAGAAUUGGUGAAUGUUGUGGAGGUUUUGUUGAGGUGGAUGAAGAAACAAAAAUAAAAUUCAGCUUCAAUGGACCAGAAUUUUGGUGAACAGGGGGAAAUUUUUUCCAAGGACGUUGCAUUUAGUGGUGAAUUCUUAUUGUCAUGCAGUCCAGUUGUGGUGGGAGGUGCUGCCAUGGAUUUCUAUAGUGGUGCCGAUGAAGAACUUGAAAGGGAGAGAGGGGGAAAAGGUUAGGGAAGAGUGGGAUGUGGGCUCACACGUGGGGAGCAGCGGUGGUAUGGGGAAGGAGAGUUGGCAUGCAUGAAAGGUUAAUGGGGCAGGUUUAGUCAGAAAUAAUAAGGGAGAAGAAAAGGGUGAUGGAGACGGGACGGUAGGUUCAGCUGAUGGUUUUUCAGGAUUUGGGAAGGGGGCUAGAGAAAAGGGGAGUGGAAGGGUGGGCUUAAGUGAGAAAGAGGGGUCUGCUAUGUUUGUUAGUUGCAAGCCCGUUUGUGAGGUUGUUCAAGCCCAAAGGAAUUCAGGCCUGGAAUGUGAAGGCCCUACAAUCUUUUUUAGCUCUAGAAUGGGUUAGGCUUUAAAAGAAAGUGAGACGAGCAGACCCAAGACGUGUUGGGAGGAGGGGCAACCCAGCAGAGGUGUGGAGCAGGCUUCUUGUGACGGCCCUUCAAACCUUCUAAGGGAUGGACUGGGCUGUUUGGAAAGUGGGGCAGCCCAGUGUUGGAGCGAUUUGGGCUUCGAACCCACAUAAGGCCUUUUUGCAUGAGCCUUUAAAAGAGGCUAGGACUCCGUUUUGUCGACUGCGAUCUAAGGGGUGGUUUGCAAAAGAAUUUCUGGCCAACGGGAUGAUUUCUGAAAUGGAGAAAGGGGCAUCAGGAAGGUUUUCUCUAGCGGACACAUGCCUUUUGGAGGAAGCUUCCAGGUACUCCUUCUUUGAGCCUUCUUCUGUUUGCGUUUGAAGGGGACGGGACUCUUCUUCAUCUCCUUUCUCUGGGGUGGAGGGGGCUUUGAUUGAGGUAGAGGAGAGUCGUGAUGCUGAUGUCUUUUUGAAGGAAAAUGAAAGGGAGUUGUCUGUAAGUCCUCUGAGUGUGUGUUUGGUGGAAGAAAGGCUUGUUGAGAAGGUUGAUGGCGAGUCUUACCCGUUAAAAGAGGGGAGGGAUGAAAGGGUUGAGAAAGAAGGAGGGGAUGUGGAGUCAUGGAGGUACAGUUGUUUGGCAAAUUUUUUUCAUUGUUUGGGAAUGCCUAUUGAGGGAUUUGAAAGUGAGAUUUUGAAACUUCUUAAUAGAAUAAGGGAAAGAAGAGACCGAUUUGAGAGGGUAAGCAGAAAAAAGAGGAAAGGACAGAGAUCCUCGAGAUUUGACCGAGAACUAAAGAAACUUAAACGGUUGGUAAAUUACGGUGGGUCAGGAGGGGAUCAAGGUCAUCAGGAGUGUGUUAGAUGAGGCUUCGAAUCCUUUCGUGGAAUGUAAGGAAGAUAAAUGAUAGAGACAAGAGAAAAUUGAUAAGGAUGUGAUUAAAACUCAGAAGGCGGAUUUAGUGUGUCUCCAAGAAACAAAAACUCAGGAGAUGAGUAGUGGGAUUGUGAGAAGUCUCCAGGUAGGAAGAUGUUUGGAGUGGGGUGCUUUGAAUUCAAGGGGUGCAGUGGGGGGGGAGGGUGGUGUUUUGGGAUAAUAGGGUGCUGCAAAUGGUGGAGAUGGAGGUGGGUAAAUAUUUAGUCUCUUGUCGCUUUAAGAAUUGUGAAAAUGGUUUUUGCUGGAUUUUUUCAGUAGUGUAUGGGGCCACUAUGAAGGUGGAGAGAGAAGAUUUUUUGAGUGAGCUGGGGGCCUUUAGAGGUUUGUGGAAUGAGUCGUGGUCUGUAGCAGGAGACUUUAACAUGAUAAGAUUCCCAUAUGAGCAUAGUAGAGGAGGUUGUCUGUCCCCAACAAUGAGGAGAUUCUCAGAGAUGGUUGAAGAUUUAGAACUAAAGGACUUGCCUCUUCAAGGGGGGUUGUUCACGUGGAGUGGAGGUUUUAAUAAUCGGUUAAAGUCAAGAAUUGAUCGGUUCCUCAUUUUUGAAGAUUAGGAAGUUCAUUUCCAGGGGGCCAUUCAAGUUGUUCUGGCUAGGCCGAUUUCUGAUCACUCUCCGAUUCUUCUUGAUGGGGGAGAGAUGAGGAGAGGGCCCACGCUUUUUAGAUUUGAGAAUAUGUGGCUGAAGGAGGAGGGCUUUAAAGAGGUGUUGAGAAAGUGGUGGAAGGGGACUCAAGUUAGUGGGUCAGUCAGCCUCAUUUUGACUGAAAAAUUGAAGGCAUUAAAACAUAUUUUGAGAAGUUGGAAUAAAGAGGUUUUUGGUCAAAUUGAUUCUAAGAAGCAGAGUGCUUAGAAUUUAGUGGAUUCUUGGGACAAAGAAGAGAGUGUUCGCUCUCUGUCUUUGGAAGAAGAAGAAACUAGGAAGGAAGCAAGAGAGAUGUAUAAAAAGUGGGUUCUUUUAGAAGAAGUGUCGUGGAGGCAGAAGUCUAGAGAAAUUUGGCUGAAGGAGGGGGAUAGAAACACAAGGUUUUAUCAUCAAAUGGCUAAUGCUCAUAGAAGAAGGAAUCAGUUGACCAGAGUAAAAGUGAAUGGGAGGUGGUUCACCGAGGAAAGUGAAAUCAAAGAGGAAGUGAACAGAGCUUUCUAAGGUCUGUUGGCAGAUCUCGGUGGUUGGAAGCCCAAUAUAGAUGGUUUGAUUUUUGAGAGGCUGGAAGAGCUGGAUGUGGAGGGAUUGGAGAAGCCUUUCUCGGAGGAGGAGUUUUUGGUGCGCUAUCAGGUUUUUGAAAAGAGAAAGCACCAAGCCCUGACGGUUUCUCAAUGGCAUUCUGGCAGUUUUCUUGGGAUUUUGUAAAGGAGGAGGUAAUGAACUUCUUCAGACAGUUCCAUGAAACUGGGAGUUUUGUUAAAAGUUUGAAUGCAACCUUUCUAGUGUUGAUCCCUAGGAAAGGGGGGGUUGAGGACUUGAAGGAUUUUAGGCCAAUUAGCUUGGUGGGAGGGUUGUACAAGUGGUUAGCUAAGGUGUUGGCUAACAGAAUGAAGGGAGUGUUAGCUAAGGUGAUCUCAACGUCUCAAAAUGUUUUUGUGGAGGGGCCGCAGAUUAUGGAUGUCGUGUUGAUUGCUAAUGAAGCAAUAGACUCCAUUUUGAAAAGCAAUAGAGGGGCAAUUCUUUGCAAAUUCGAUAUUAAGAAAGCCUAUGAUCACAUAGACUGGUCAUUUCUUUUAACGGUGUUGGAGAAGAUGGGGUUUGGGGAAAGGUGGCGUAGAUGGAUAAAGUGGUGUUUAUCCACUGCUAGGUUUUCAGUUAUGGUGAAUGGAAGCCCUACUGGAUUUUUUCAGAGCUCAAGGAGUUUAAGGCAAGGAGACCCCCUUUCGCCUUACUUAUUCAUAGUUGUGAUGGAGGUUUUUAGUUAUAUGCUGAAGAGAGCAGUUUCUGGAGGUUUUUUGUCGCCGUGUUCGAUUCAGGGAAGAAGGGGUGAAGGGGUCUAGGUCUCUCAUUUGUUGUUUGCUGAUGAUAUGUUGAUUUUUUAUGAGGCAAAAGAGGAGCAUUUGACGUAUUUGUGCUGGUUGUUAAUGUGAUUUGAGGCAAUUUCAGGUUUAAGAGCGAAUCUGGAAAAAAAGUGAACUAAUUCCGAUUGGUAAAGUUGAGAAUGUGGAAAAGUUGGUUGAUGAGUUCGGUUAUAAGGUGGGAAAAUUACCCUCCACCGACUUAGGAAUGUCGUUGGGUGCUCCUUUUAAAUAUGCUGCCGCUUGAGAUGGAAUAAAAGAAAGAUUCCAAAAGAGAUUGGCUAUGUGGAAACGUCAGUACAUCUCAAAAGGGGGGAGGAUUACCUUAAUUCGAAGUACUUUGUCCAAUUUGCCGAUUUAUUUUAUGUCUAUUUUCCAGCUGCCUAGGGUGGUUAGAAUGAGAUUGGAGCAUAUUCAAAGGUAUUUUUUUGUGGGGUGGUGGGGCUUUUGAGCAAAAACAGCACUUAGUAAGGUGGCCGAUUGUGUGUGUAGAUAAAAGAAAAGGAGGGUUGGGGGUUAAGAGCCUUGGGACUUUCAAUAGGGCUCUCCUUGGCAAAUGGGUUUGGCAUUUUGCAAAUGAAAGAAAGGCCCUUUGGAACCAAGUGAUUAGAAGGAAAUACGGGGAGGAAAGAGGAGAGUGGAGCUCUUAUGAGGCUAGCUCCGCCUAUGGAGUUGGGUUGUAGAAAGCAAUAAGUAAGAUGGGACAUCUAGUAACCCCUUCUUUUGGCUUUGUGGUGGGUGAUGGUAAGAAGGUGAAGUUUUGGAAAGACAAGUGGUGUGGAACCACCCCUUUGUGUGAGGAUUUCCCUUCAUUAUUUGCUCUAGCAACUUCCAAAGAGGCUUGGGUAAAUGAAGUUCGGACAGCCGCGGGGGAAAGGGGGGGAAGUUGGAGUCCUCGUUUCAAUAGACCUUUCAAUGAUUGGGAGUUGGAAGAAGUGGAAAGGUUGGUUUGUUGCUUGGAUGGGAAGAAGGUUAGUGUGGAUGAGGAGGAUAGGGUGAGGUGGAUGGAUUCAAAGGAUGGGGUUUUUUCGGUAAAAUCUUUGUAUAGGGCUUUGCAGCCGGUUUCUCUUGCUUCUUUCCUUUCGAAGAUUAUUUGAAACUCUUGUGUACAGCCCAAAUUAAGCUUCUUUGCUUGGGAGGCUUCGUGGGGAAGAGUUCUAACCUUAGACCAUUUGCAAAAGAGGCGUUGGGUUUUGGCUAAUAGAUGAUUUAUGUGCCAAACGUGUGAGGAGUCGAUUGGUCACCUCCUCCUUCAUUGUGAAAAAACAAGGGAAGUGUGAAUGUUGCUCCUUUCUUUUUUUAGAGUAUCUUGGGUAUUUCCUUUUUCAGUAAAGGAAGCCCUUUUAGGGUGAAGGGGCUCUUUUGUGGGUAAGAAGAGGAAGGUGGCAUGGCAAGUCGGACGGACCGUUAUGCUUGUUUUGGGUCAUUUGGAAGGCAAGGAAUAGAAUUGCUUUUGAGGAUAGCUUGUUGUCCAUCCAAAGGCUGAAAGCUUCUUUUGUGUAUUUACUUUGGUAGGAAACCAAAUUGUGGAUAAAAUAUGGUCCUUCGACCUUCAUAGAUUUUGUAGAUUGGGUGUGCUCACGAUGAGGGAGAAGGUUUUUUGUUUUUUCCUUGUUGUUUGGGUCCUUUUGUAACAAGGUGAGUAUCUCUAUACUGUAAUUCUAUGGGUCGCUAUUUUAGCGCCUCUUUGCAAUACAAUUUUUUGCUUAUUGAUAAAAUAAAAAAAUGUAUCCACGCAUGUGAAUUAGUUUGGAGGUCCACUUUGAGUUGUUUGAUGUAAAUCGAGGAAGCUAACAUGAUCAUGGAAGGAAGAAGUGUGAAAAAUUUUUUUUGAUCAGAAACGAAGAAGAUUAUAUUAAUAAAAGAACAAAUACAGAAGAGAAAAAAGAGACAAAAGAAAGAGAAAAAAAAAACCAAGGGAAGGAUGAGAGGUCCUUCCUACACAAUAACCAAGGAAAACACCCAACAAUAGUAAUCUAAAAACAAGAGAAAACCCAACAAUCUUCAAACUCUUUAAACGCAAACCCCAAUCCAAUUGAUUUGUAGGAUGCUUAGAGGAACUCCUCUAAAAGCUUCAGUACAAGAAGCCCAUAGAGAAGAGUAAAACCAAAUCAAAUCCCACACCACCUCUUCCGUUCUCCCUUUAUCCUCAAAGAUUCUAUUAUUCCUUUCUUGCCACACUAUCCAAAUCAAAGUAAGGCAAGCAAUUUGCCAAAGAAUCUUGCCUCUUACUGAGUUCCCCAAGCCUCUAAAGGAAAUAACCAACAUAUCCUCAAUGCUCCUUGGAGGGACCCAAAUCACACCUACUAGAUUGAACAACCUGUGCCAAAGUCCAAUGGUGACGGGACA
RNAcentral lists this long non-coding RNA (9158 nucleotides) under Vitis vinifera (wine grape). Its description in RNAcentral is "long non-coding RNA (VVIN_LNC001022)". Lineage: Eukaryota; Viridiplantae; Streptophyta; Magnoliopsida; Vitales; Vitaceae. The record is from RNAcentral.